CCGUGCAGCCGGGGAGAUAGCGGUGCCCUGUACCUGCAAUCCGCUACAGCAGGGGUCAUGCCGAACCGAGGCCGUUUCUCUGCGGAGCAGCCCUUCACAAGUGAUGUUGACGUCUGGGUCCCUCGCAACAGGAUCCUGUGAACCGUGUCAGGGUGGG
RNAcentral lists this signal recognition particle RNA (157 nucleotides) under Lachnospiraceae bacterium. RNAcentral's name for it is "partial signal recognition particle sRNA large type". It matches the Rfam family "Bacterial large signal recognition particle RNA", at positions 1 to 157 of the family's 256-position model. Rfam says of the family: The signal recognition particle (SRP) is a universally conserved ribonucleoprotein involved in the co-translational targeting of proteins to membranes. Archaeal SRP consists of a 7S RNA and homologues of the eukaryotic SRP19 and SRP54 proteins. Lineage: Bacteria; Bacillati; Bacillota; Clostridia; Lachnospirales; Lachnospiraceae. The record is from RNAcentral.